AGGAACCUGCCUCAAAGAGGGGGACAACAGUUGGAAACGACUGCUAAUACCGCAUAAGCCCACAGCUCGGCAUCGAGCAGGGGGAAAAGGAGUGAUCCGCUUUGAGAUGGCCUCGCGUCCGAUUAGCUAGUUGGUGAGGUAACGGCCCACCAAGGCGACGAUCGGUAGCCGGACUGAGAGGUUGAACGGCCACAUUGGGACUGAGACACGGCCCAGACUCCUACGGGAGGCAGCAGUGGGGAAUAUUGCACAAUGGGGGAAACCCUGAUGCAGCGACGCCGCGUGGAGGAAGAAGGUCUUCGGAUUGUAAACUCCUGUUGUUGAGGAAGAUAAUGACGGUACUCAACAAGGAAGUGACGGCUAACUACGUGCCAGCAGCCGCGGUAAAACGUAGGUCACAAGCGUUGUCCGGAAUUACUGGGUGUAAAGGGAGCGCAGGCGGGAGAACAAGUUGGAAGUGAAAUCCAUGGGCUCAACCCAUGAACUGCUUUCAAAACUGUUUUUCUUGAGUAGUGCAGAGGUAGGCGGAAUUCCCGGUGUAGCGGUGGAAUGCGUAGAUAUCGGGAGGAACACCAGUGGCGAAGGCGGCCUACUGGGCACCAACUGACGCUGAGGCUCGAAAGUGUGGGUAGCAAACAGGAUUAGAUACCCUGGUAGUCCACACCGUAAACGAUGAUUACUAGGUGUUGGAGGAUUGACCCCUUCAGUG
This 709-nucleotide ribosomal RNA is filed under the name uncultured bacterium. Its description in RNAcentral is "bacterial SSU rRNA". It matches the Rfam family "Bacterial small subunit ribosomal RNA", at positions 120 to 845 of the family's 1533-position model. The record is from RNAcentral.